This 509-nucleotide ribosomal RNA is filed under the name uncultured Glomus. Its description in RNAcentral is "SSU rRNA". It matches the Rfam family "Eukaryotic small subunit ribosomal RNA", at positions 569 to 1078 of the family's 1831-position model. The record is from RNAcentral. Lineage: Eukaryota; Fungi; Glomeromycota; Glomeromycetes; Glomerales; Glomeraceae.
AGCAGCCGCGGUAAUUCCAGCUCCAAUAGCGUAUAUUAAAGUUGUUGCAGUUAAAAAGCUCGUAGUUGAAUUUCGGGAUCAAUAUGUCGGUCGUGCCUCUGGUACGUACUGGUAUCAUUGAUUUCUCCCUUCUGACGAACCAUGAUUUCAUUUAUUUGGUGUCAUGGGGAGUUAGGACUGUUACUUUGAAAAAAUUAGAGUGUUUAAAGCAGGCAUUAGCUUGAAUACAUUAGCAUGGAAUAAUGAAAUAGGACGUUUGACCCUAUUUUGUUGGUUUCUAGGAUCGACGUAAUGAUUAAUAGGGAUAGUUGGGGGCAUUAGUAUUCAAUUGUCAGAGGUGAAAUUCUUGGAUUUAUUGAAGACUAACUACUGCGAAAGCAUUUGCCAAGGAUGUUUUCAUUAAUCAAGAACGAAAGUUAGGGGAUCGAAGACGAUCAGAUACCGUCGUAGUCUUAACCAUAAACUAUGCCGACUAGGGAUCGGAUGAUGUCAAUUUUUUUAAUGACUCA